Molecule: long non-coding RNA, 876 nt
Organism: Corticium candelabrum
Lineage: Eukaryota; Metazoa; Porifera; Homoscleromorpha; Homosclerophorida; Plakinidae
Exons: 5
Source: RefSeq, a predicted model, not a curated record
CGGGAUCUGAAGCCUUCAAAUAUAUUGCCAUAUCAAGAGAGGAGCAACUCUCAUGAGUACCAUGCCAAGAGCAAGGACAGUGUACUAUCUUGCCCCUAAAACAUUGAACGGACAGUGUGGUCCACUCUCGGAUGUGUGGGCCCUGGGCCUCAUUACAAUUGAACUAUACUCUGGAGCUCAUGCGUGUUUCAAUGUCACAACGGAGCAAGAAGUUUUCGGAAGGCUGUAUGGACAGCAAUGUCCAGAUGCUUUCAAAUAUAUUUCGAAUGACAUGAAAAUGAUUGCGCGUGAGUGCGUCAAUUAUGAGUCAUACAAACGGUCUAAAAUGGCUUCUGUUUUGACGAUGCUGCACGGCUGUGGCAAGAAAGAACACGUGUGACUGCAUGUCAAUAGACAGUGAGUAGGCGAGACAGCGUUAGGGCGCAGUCGUCUGAAUUUGCUGACAAACUAAGAAAUGCUGCUGUGCAAGGUAGACUUCAUGGUUUCAUAAGUGGUUCGUGCGAUAUCCCUCGUGAUGUUGCUUUUCACGUUUCUCGUUUGUCUGCUCAGACACCAUUAGAUGUUGGGUGUCACUGCCGAUGACUUGUCAACAACUCACAAGACUGACAUUCCAAGUGAAACAGUCUAUACAAUGAUAGAUCUCUGGAUUAAGAGAGAUGGGAAAGAUGCUACGCUCAUUAGAUUGUUGGAAGCAAUGGAAUUUAUUGGAGAAUUAGGUGAACUUGAAAGGAAACUGGCAGACAGUUUGCCCUGAAGUACAAUCACAUUCUCAUGGUUUAAUUAGUGUAGGUAUAAGCAAAAUAUGUCAGCUGAUUAUCCGACAUGUUCCAUUAACUGAACCGUUACGUGUAUUUGUGUAUCUUACAUUUUGCUUUA